This 115-nucleotide small nuclear RNA is filed under the name Otolemur garnettii (small-eared galago). The record is from RNAcentral. Lineage: Eukaryota; Metazoa; Chordata; Mammalia; Primates; Galagidae.
AUGCUCGCUUUGGUAGCAUACAUACUAAAACUGGGGCACAGGGAAGACACAGGGAAGAUUAGGAUGGCCCCUGCACAAGGAUGACACACAAGUUCAUGAAGUGUUCCAUAUUUUU